GUCGAGCGGUAGAGAGGCUUGCUUCUCUUGAGAGCGGCGGACGGGUGAGUAAUGCCUAGGAAUCUGCCUGGUAGUGGGGGAUAACGUUCGGAAACGAACGCUAAUACCGCAUACGUCCUACGGGAGAAAGCAGGGGACCUUCGGGCCUUGCGCUAUCAGAUGAGCCUAGGUCGGAUUAGCUAGUUGGUGAGGUAAUGGCUCACCAAGGCGACGAUCCGUAACUGGUCUGAGAGGAUGAUCAGUCACACUGGAACUGAGACACGGUCCAGACUCCUACGGGAGGCAGCAGUGGGGAAUAUUGGACAAUGGGCGAAAGCCUGAUCCAGCCAUGCCGCGUGUGUGAAGAAGGUCUUCGGAUUGUAAAGCACUUUAAGUUGGGAGGAAGGGCAUUAACCUAAUACGUUAGUGUUUUGACGUUACCGACAGAAUAAGCACCGGCUAACUCUGUGCCAGCAGCCGCGGUAAUACAGAGGGUGCAAGCGUUAAUCGGAAUUACUGGGCGUAAAGCGCGCGUAGGUGGUUUGUUAAGUUGGAUGUGAAAUCCCCGGGCUCAACCUGGGAACUGCAUUCAAAACUGACUGACUAGAGUAUGGUAGAGGGUGGUGGAAUUUCCUGUGUAGCGGUGAAAUGCGUAGAUAUAGGAAGGAACACCAGUGGCGAAGGCGACCACCUGGACUAAUACUGACACUGAGGUGCGAAAGCGUGGGGAGCAAACAGGAUUAGAUACCCUGGUAGUCCACGCCGUAAACGAUGUCAACUAGCCGUUGGAAGCCUUGAGCUUUUAGUGGCGCAGCUAACGCAUUAAGUUGACCGCCUGGGGAGUACGGCCGC
RNAcentral lists this ribosomal RNA (831 nucleotides) under Pseudomonas sp. Its description in RNAcentral is "bacterial SSU rRNA". It matches the Rfam family "Bacterial small subunit ribosomal RNA", at positions 61 to 889 of the family's 1533-position model. Lineage: Bacteria; Pseudomonadati; Pseudomonadota; Gammaproteobacteria; Pseudomonadales; Pseudomonadaceae. The record is from RNAcentral.